This 206-nucleotide ribosomal RNA is filed under the name uncultured bacterium. RNAcentral describes it as "partial 16S ribosomal RNA". It matches the Rfam family "Bacterial small subunit ribosomal RNA", at positions 568 to 774 of the family's 1533-position model. The record is from RNAcentral.
UGCGUAGGCGGUUUCUAAGUCACGUGUGAAAUCUUCCGGCUCAACCGGAAAACUGCGCGUGAGACUGGAUAACUUGAGUGAGGUAGGGGUGUGUGGAACUUCCGGUGGAGCGGUGAAAUGUGUAGAGAUCGGAAGGAACGCCAGCAGCGAAAGCGGCACACUGGGCCUUUUCUGACGCUGAGGCACGAAAGCUAGGGGAGUGAACG